Molecule: transfer RNA, 69 nt
Filed under: Sphaerodactylus townsendi
Lineage: Eukaryota; Metazoa; Chordata; Lepidosauria; Squamata; Sphaerodactylidae
Description: tRNA-Ala
Rfam family: tRNA
About the family: Transfer RNA (tRNA) molecules are approximately 80 nucleotides in length. Their secondary structure includes four short double-helical elements and three loops (D, anti-codon, and T loops). Further hydrogen bonds mediate the characteristic L-shaped molecular structure. tRNAs have two regions of fundamental functional importance: the anti-codon, which is responsible for specific mRNA codon recognition, and the 3' end, to which the tRNAs corresponding amino acid is attached (by aminoacyl-tRNA synthetases). tRNAs cope with the degeneracy of the genetic code in two manners: having more than one tRNA (with a specific anti-codon) for a particular amino acid; and 'wobble' base-pairing, i.e. permitting non-standard base-pairing at the 3rd anti-codon position.
Source: RNAcentral
GCUGUGGCUCAGUGGAAAAGUCUCUGCUUUGCAAGCUGAAUGUCCUAGGUUCAAUCCCCGGCAUCUCCA